This 72-nucleotide transfer RNA is filed under the name Caudoviricetes sp. RNAcentral describes it as "tRNA-Glu". It matches the Rfam family "tRNA". Rfam says of the family: Transfer RNA (tRNA) molecules are approximately 80 nucleotides in length. Their secondary structure includes four short double-helical elements and three loops (D, anti-codon, and T loops). The record is from RNAcentral. Lineage: Duplodnaviria; Heunggongvirae; Uroviricota; Caudoviricetes.
GUCCGGUUAGUCAAGCGGUUAAGACACCGCCCUUUCACGGCGGAGACACGGGUUCAAAUCCCGUACCGGACA